GCCAAUCCAAUGCUCGGCACAGGGGUGGGCCAAAUGCAGUCUUGGCCAAUCAGGACCUCCUCAUAGAGAUUCAUUGAAUCAAUGCAUCUCAAUGCAAAAUAUUCAGCGUCUUCAUGGAGAGCGUGGGGACGCUGAACGUCAGGGCUGCUUUUUCGGCAGGACUGACCCAGGAAGCUCCUCCAGUGGCCAUCUAAGGAGUUGUAACUUGGAGGUGUUCCUAAAGGCAAUGUAAACACUGCCUUUUAUCUGAAAAGGCAGUGUUUGCAUGAAAAAAGCCUGUAGGGAACCAUUACUCACCAGAACAGCUACAUUAAGCUGUAGUUGUUCUGGUGACGAUAGUGUCCCUUUUUAAAUGCAACUUUAUACAGAC
Molecule: non-coding RNA, 370 nt
Organism: Pelobates cultripes (western spadefoot toad)
Lineage: Eukaryota; Metazoa; Chordata; Amphibia; Anura; Pelobatidae
Source: the annotation of a GenBank genome assembly